AGCGAACGCUGGCGGCAGGCCUAACACAUGCAAGUCGAACGGAUCCUUCGGGAUUAGUGGCCGACGGGUGAGUAACACGUGGGAACGUGCCCUUUGGUUCGGCACAACUCAGGGAAAGUUGAGCUAAUACCGGAUGUGCCCUUCGGGGGAAAGAUUUAUCGCCAUUGGAGGGGCCCGCGUCUGAUUCGCUAGUUGGUGAGGUAACGGCCCACCAAGGCGACGAUUAGUAAAUGGUCUGAGAGGAUGGGCAGCCACACUGGGACUGAGACGCGGCCCAGACUCCUACGGGAGGCGGCAGUGGGGGAUCUUGCGAAACGGGCGGAGGCAUGACGCAGCCAGGCCGGGAGAACGAUGAAGGUCUUGGGAUAGUAAAAUGCUUUCAGCGGGGACGAUAAUGACGGUACCCGCAGAAGAAGCACCGGCUAACUACGUG
This 433-nucleotide ribosomal RNA is filed under the name uncultured bacterium. RNAcentral describes it as "partial 16S ribosomal RNA". It matches the Rfam family "Bacterial small subunit ribosomal RNA", at positions 30 to 507 of the family's 1533-position model. The record is from RNAcentral.